Molecule: long non-coding RNA, 1841 nt
Organism: Xenopus laevis (African clawed frog)
Lineage: Eukaryota; Metazoa; Chordata; Amphibia; Anura; Pipidae
Exons: 3
Source: RefSeq, a predicted model, not a curated record
UUAAAAAUAUCAAACUAUUAAAACAAGGUUCCUUCCUUUCUUCUUCUCUUCGCAUGUUUUAAUUUAAAAAACAUUCCUUGUAUGUUUGAAAUAUUUGAGUCUGUUUAUCAAGAGGAAUUAGUAGUAUUCUGAAGAUUAGCCGCAUGAAGAAGAGGAGAUUUGUCACCUGUUUUUAUUUAUUUAAUAUUUUGACUUCUUGCAAAUAGGGUGAGGUAUUUCUGCUGUCUAAGUACAUCAGUUGAAGCACUGACUGUUCUUUAAUUUCCAUUUAUUGUGUUUUUCUCUUUUUAGAACUCAGUAUUCAUAAUGUGGAAGGAGGAAACAACACCAAAGCAAUAGAACUGUUCAGUGAAGCCAUCAGAUUAGAUCCCAAGGAUUACAGUUUGUCCUGUAGAAGGAGUGAUUAUUGGACUGAUACACCCUGGGAAACCAGCAGUAGUGGAUAACACAACAAGAGAGAACGGAUGUUCAAGCAAUAUUCAUUUCCUGAGAUACUAUUCAGAUAUUUUGGGAACCAUUCAUACUGCUAUGAGCUGUUAAAGUUUUAUCCUAAGGCAUUCAUUGACACUGAAGUUUCCAUCCAACUAUUCAGAUUGCCCUAAAGGCUAUUUCAGAAAAGGAAGAGCUUCGCGAGGCUGCAGAGUAAGAAACCCCUUUCUCUAUCUUUAUCAAUUCUGCUUUCACGGUAGCACAAGUAGGUCACUAAGGGAGUCAAAAAGGACUUUUGAUUGUUGUACGGUCCUCCCAAGAAAACAUCUUUAGUAUCUUUAUUAUCAGAGCUGUGUGACAAGGGGAUACCUAAAUGUCUACAUUGAUGCAAUUUGUAUUCGGUACGUAAACAUGGCAGUUUAGUUUUUUGACACAUUUCUCUAUGAAGGAUAAAUAGGGCAGAAAUUGCAAUGGAUGACUUUGUCCCUGCACACUCUUUAACAAAGGGAAAAUAAAAACACCCUUGCAAAAACGAAUAUUGUCAGUGUAGAUCUGUGUUCCGCUUAAUCCAAAUUAUUAUGGUUAGGUGCAUCUCUGUUUCUCGGGCAUAAAAACUUUUCUCAAGGUGCAUUUUAAGUUGUAAGGAGAGAGAAAGAUCUGGUGGUUCAAAUGUUGAAUAUAUUUGGCUGAUCUUGAGCAUUGGUUUUAUAUGCCUUUCUUCAAUUUAAAGAAAAUGUCACUGCACAGAUCUGGGAUUUAUAGGUGGUCAAAUAUGGCACAGCCAGGAAUCUGCAGGAUAAUGUGUAUUCUGGCCAUCCACAAGAAUGGACACUUUCUAUGAAGACCUGAGCUCAUAGCCUUGUUGGUAUUUUGUGACAAAUGCAGGCAAUUCUUUAUUUCUACGUUUAACUUCUUACUAAGGUUUUUAUUCAGGCCAACAACACAAAACAUAAUCUUCAAGGAACAUGUGGUUUUACUAACUCAGUUGUAUGUAGUCAUUGGGUGAUCUGCCCCUCUAGUUUUCUGGUUGUUUAGCUGGCUGACAAAAGUCUGAUGAUCCCUAGAUGAACUUCUAGUUACAAUUUAUCUAGUCUCUAGUCCUUGUAGAAUGGGCACUUUUGUCUAUUACCUAAUUGAAGUAAUUACCAUGUAUUCAACCCUCAAUAAAAUAAACAGUAAUAGAUUUCUUAAGUACAGUGAUUUACUCCAGAACCAACAUUGACCUUUAGAGAGGUGGGUUAUUUAUGUUGUGAUAAAAAGGGGAAAGACUAUUCUACACUAACAUUAUGUUGAUUGUGCCAUUGAUUGCUCCUUUCUUUACUGCAGUAUACGAGAGGGGUAGCCUGGGGGUCUAUUAGAGCAGUGACCCCCCCCCCCCCCCAAACAGUGGCUCAUGAGCAACAUGUUGCUCA